Molecule: small nucleolar RNA, 84 nt
Organism: Diospyros lotus (date-plum)
Lineage: Eukaryota; Viridiplantae; Streptophyta; Magnoliopsida; Ericales; Ebenaceae
Product: small nucleolar RNA SNORD34
Exons: 1
Source: RefSeq, a predicted model, not a curated record
UGAGGCCUGUGAUGAUUUGAAGUUUUGCCUACAUUGCCCGAUUGUUACAUCUAUGACGGAUGGACUUGAAAUUCUGAGGCCACA